GAAAUGCGAUAAGUAAUGUGAAUUGCAGAAUUCAGUGAAUCAUCGAAUCUUUGAACGCAGCUUGCGCUCCUUGGUAUUCCUUGGAGCAUGCCUGUUUGAGUAUCAUGAAAUCUUCAAAGUAAAUCUUUUGUUAACUCGAUUGGUUUCUACUUUGGUAUUGGAGGUCUUUGCAGCUUCACACCUGCUCCUCUUUGUUCAUUAGCUGGAUCUCAGUGUUAUGCUUGGUUCCACUAGGCGUGAUAAGUUAUCUAUCGCUGAGGACACUGUAAAAGGUGGCCAAGGUAAAUGCAGAUGAACCGCUUCUAAUAGUCCAUUGACUUGGACAAUACUUUUAUGAUCUGAUCUCAAAUCAGGUAGGACUACCCGCUGAACUUAAGC
This 378-nucleotide unclassified non-coding RNA is filed under the name plant metagenome. RNAcentral describes it as "partial contains 5.8S ribosomal RNA, internal transcribed spacer 2, and large subunit ribosomal RNA". The stretch from base 1 to 105 matches the Rfam family "5.8S ribosomal RNA", at positions 50 to 154 of the family's 154-position model. The record is from RNAcentral.